RNAcentral lists this ribosomal RNA (253 nucleotides) under uncultured bacterium. Its description in RNAcentral is "partial 16S ribosomal RNA". It matches the Rfam family "Bacterial small subunit ribosomal RNA", at positions 524 to 776 of the family's 1533-position model. The record is from RNAcentral.
CACGUAGGGCGCGAGCGUUGUCCGGAAUUAUUGGGCGUAAAGAGCUCGUAGGCGGCCUGUUGCGUCCGCUGUGAAAGCCCGGGGCUUAACCCCGGGUCGGCAGUGGAUACGGGCAGGCUAGAGGUAGGUAGGGGAGAAUGGAAUUCCCGGUGUAGCGGUGAAAUGCGCAGAUAUCAGGAGGAACACCGGUGGCGAAGGCGGCUCUCUGGGACGGUACUGACGCUGAGACGCGAAAGCGUGGGGAGCGAACAGG